CAGCAGCCGCGGUAAAACGUAGGGUGCGAGCGUUAAUCGGAAUUACUGGGCGUAAAGCGUGCGCAGGCGGUUAUAUAAGACAGAUGUGAAAUCCCCGGGCUCAACCUGGGACCUGCAUUUGUGACUGUAUAGCUAGAGUACGGUAGAGGGGGAUGGAAUUCCGCGUGUAGCAGUGAAAUGCGUAGAUAUGCGGAGGAACACCGAUGGCGAAGGCAAUCCCCUGGACCUGUACUGACGCUCAUGCACGAAAGCGUGGGGAGCAAACAGGAUUAGAUACCCCCGUAGUCCCUGUCUCUUAUAC
This 301-nucleotide ribosomal RNA is filed under the name uncultured bacterium. Its description in RNAcentral is "partial 16S ribosomal RNA". It matches the Rfam family "Bacterial small subunit ribosomal RNA", at positions 509 to 807 of the family's 1533-position model. The record is from RNAcentral.